AUCGAUCUCAAGAGAGAUGGGAGCGAUGAACAAGCUCAAAAUCUUCGUCGUCAAGGAGCCCGUCGUCGCUGCUUCCUGCCUCAUCGCCGGAUUCGGCCUCUUUCUUCCGGUUGUGGUCAGGCCUAUUCUGGAUUCCUUUGAGACAGCCAAGCAAGUCCUACAACCUGCUAUGACUGAUGUGCUUGUAGGCGUGACGGGCAAAAUACAGUGAUUGAUUGGAUCAUACAUUGUGGUUUUCGGUGCGUG
RNAcentral lists this unclassified non-coding RNA (246 nucleotides) under Hevea brasiliensis (rubber tree). The record is from RNAcentral. Lineage: Eukaryota; Viridiplantae; Streptophyta; Magnoliopsida; Malpighiales; Euphorbiaceae.